AAGGACAUAGAACUGACUCCUAUAAAGAAAUGUAGGAGGACAUUAGCAGAAGAUUCUAACUUUUAAUAUUCAAACAUCUAAAAGAUUAGUUUAGCAGAAACUAUUCACCCAGAAUAUGUCGUGGGGGAGAACGAAGAGUUUGUUUUUCAGCAAAGACGAGCUAUUCUAAUAAUUUCAUCUCACAAGGACACAAUGUGCCAUUGAGAUAGUAUAAAUACAGACUAAGGUCACCAGCCAUGCACAACAGGAAUAAGUGCAGAGAGGAAUCCAGAGACAGGGUCCAUCUCUGGGAAAUCCCACCUACAAUGCUCUACCAGGUCCUGCACCAGCCUCUCCACCGCUACUCCCUGAAAUCUGAUGUGAAGUUGUUUUUCUAUGAGCUGAACCCUGAUGUCCUGGAGCAAGCAAAAUACUCCCCGGCUGCAAUUUGUGGCUGGGAUUCUGCUUACAAAUAUUGAGAACGGCACAAAGCUUUUGGAUGCUGUGAGAUUUAUUUUUGCAGAAAAAGAAAUCAGAGCAGAUGCCAAAAUGCUCCUUCUUAAGGACAAACACUGAGUGGUGGAAGAUCAGAAAAGCUUCUGAAGGCGACAGUGAGGAUUGCCAGCAUAUGAGUCGACUCGGACUAGGAGUCGAAUCAGAGCUGCAGCUGCUGGCCUACCCCACAGCCACAGCCACAAUGGACCCAAGCCUCAUCUGCCAGCUACACUGCAGCUUGCAACAGUGCCAGAUCUUUAACCCAUUGAGUGAGGCCAGGGAUCCAACCUGCAUCCUCUUGGACACUAUGUCAGAUUCUUAACCCACUGACCCACAACGGGAACCCCUAUGCCAUUUUCCUCUUCCACUACAAAUACAUCGGUAAAUCUACAUGUCUCAACAUGCAUGAGGGUUGCGUUAAGUAGAUUCAUUCUAGAGUAAAUUCAUUCUUGCCACUACAAGGGGUCAAUUCCUGCACAAAGCUUGGUAUGAAACAGCCAACACAUUAUAACCGAGCAGGACCCUGGGAGGCCUUCCAGGGUGGACCCCACUCAGGUCCUCCUGCCUUUUUAUCCAUAGAAAAACUUUAGUCAAAGAAUCAAUUUAAUCAGAGAAGUGAGAAACCACAGAGAAAAAGGGAAAACGGUCAGGCAAGAUAGAAUCAUGAGAGUUUAGCCAUUCAUCAAAGUCAAGGACUUUAGUUAGUUCUUCUUCAAAGACUCUAAAUAAUAUUCUGAGCCAUGUCCUUGGAGCUGUUUGGCAGGUGCUGAAGCCCCCACCAAGUGAAGAAGUUGCUGUAUGCUCCCACAAGCAUGUUGGAACCAGAAGGUCGAUGAUGCUGACUCCCAGUGACCUCACCACUCACCAGUCAGCAAAAUAUCCAGGAGCUGAUCACACACGGCUCCUCAAACACUAGAGGACUCCUCACCACCCCCUGGGGGUGCGGGAGGGAGGGGGGUGCACAGUCCUUGAGGCACUAGCCUGCUGUGUUCCCUCUUUGCCUGGCAAUUAAAGCUACUUUCUCUUU
Molecule: long non-coding RNA, 1501 nt
Filed under: Sus scrofa (pig)
Lineage: Eukaryota; Metazoa; Chordata; Mammalia; Artiodactyla; Suidae
Description: lncRNA (ENSSSCG00000046140.1)
Source: RNAcentral